This 85-nucleotide transfer RNA is filed under the name Pseudomonadota bacterium. Its description in RNAcentral is "tRNA-Leu". It matches the Rfam family "tRNA". From Rfam's summary of the family: Transfer RNA (tRNA) molecules are approximately 80 nucleotides in length. Their secondary structure includes four short double-helical elements and three loops (D, anti-codon, and T loops). Lineage: Bacteria; Pseudomonadati; Pseudomonadota. RNAcentral also lists the same sequence under 4 other names. The record is from RNAcentral.
GCCGAAGUGGCGGAACUGGUAGACGCGUCGGACUCAAAAUCCGAUGGGAGCUGAUCCCGUGAGGGUUCGAGUCCCUCCUUCGGCA